This 546-nucleotide ribosomal RNA is filed under the name Triticum aestivum (bread wheat). RNAcentral's name for it is "partial small subunit ribosomal RNA". Lineage: Eukaryota; Viridiplantae; Streptophyta; Magnoliopsida; Poales; Poaceae. The record is from RNAcentral.
AUGUCCUGCCUGCACAACCACGCCGGGAUCGCCGGGAGGAUGACCAUGGAUUCCGUGGCGUCCCUCGACCUCGCCGACUUCGACCGCACCAUGGCGGCCAACGCCCGGUCCGCCGUCGCCGGGAUCAAGCACGCGGCACGCGUGAUGGUGCCGCGCCGGAGCGGGUGCAUCAUCUGCACGGCGGGUGCUCGGCGGCGUGAACCCCGCGUACUGCAUCUCCAAGGCCGCCGUGAUCGGCGCCGUCCGGGCGUUGGCCGGGGAGCUGGGGAGGCAGGGCGUGCGCGUGAACGCCAUCUCGCCGCAUGGCAUCGCGACGCCGUUUGGGCUGCGUGGGCUGGCGGAGCUGCUCCCGGAGGCGAGCGAGGAGGAGCUGAGGCGGAUGGUGGAGUCGGGCAUGAACGAGAUGGGCGGGGCGGUUCUGGAGGUGGAGGACAUCGCGCGGGCGGCCGUGUACCUGGCGUCCGAGGAGGCCAGGUAUGUCAACGGGCACAACCUCGUCGUCGACGGCGGGUUUACUGUGGGGAAGCCCGAUCCGGUGAGGAGUGA